Molecule: ribosomal RNA, 253 nt
Filed under: uncultured bacterium
Lineage: Bacteria
Description: partial 16S ribosomal RNA
Rfam family: Bacterial small subunit ribosomal RNA
Source: RNAcentral
UACAGAGGGCUCAAGCGUUGUUCGGAUUCAUUGGGCGUAAAGGGCGUGUAGGCGGCGCGCUAAGUCGGGUGUGAAAUUUCGGAGCUUAACUCCGAAACUGCAUUCGAUACUGGCGUGCUUGAGGACUGGAGAGGAGACUGGAAUUUACGGUGUAGCAGUGAAAUGCGUAGAUAUCGUAAGGAAGACCAGUGGCGAAGGCGGGUCUCUGGACAGUUCCUGACACUGAGACACGAAGGCCAGGGGAGCAAACGGG